RNAcentral lists this unclassified non-coding RNA (374 nucleotides) under soil metagenome. RNAcentral's name for it is "partial contains internal transcribed spacer 2 and large subunit ribosomal RNA". The stretch from base 1 to 120 matches the Rfam family "5.8S ribosomal RNA", at positions 35 to 154 of the family's 154-position model. The record is from RNAcentral.
GAUGAAGAACGUAGCGAAAUGCGAUAAUUAAUGUGAAUUGCAGAAUUCCGUGAAUCAUCGAGUCUUUGAACGCACAUUGCGCCUCAUGGCAUUCCGUGAGGCAUGCCCAUCUCAGCGUUAGAAAAAAUUCUCAAAUUUUAGUUUUGUGCUAAAAUUUGGAUCAUGUCAAAGAAGCUAUUACUAUUAUUGUGAUCGCUCUUUGGAAAUUGAUAGGUCUUUGAGUUGCUACUCAUAGAACGUGAUGAAUCUUUCUUCGUUCUAUUGUAAUUCACUCUGGUAGUCCUAAAACUUGUAUGCCUGUGGCAUAUCUUGUAAUUUGACCUGAGAUUGGGUAGGGAUACCCGCUGAACUUAAGCAUAUCAAUAAGCGGAGGA